GAUGAACGCUAGCGGCAGGCCUAAUACAUGCAAGUCGGACGGGAUCGGGGAGCUUGCUCCCCGUGAGAGUGGCGCACGGGUGCGUAACACGUAUGUAACCUACCUUUAUCAGGGGGAUAGCCUCUCGAAAGAGAGAUUAACACCGCAUAACAUCACAUGAUAGCAUUAUCGAGUGAUCAAAUAUUCAUGGGAUAAAGAUGGGCAUGCGGGACAUUAGCUAGUUGGCGGGAUAACGGCCCACCAAGGCGACGAUGUCUAGGGGAUCUGAGAGGAUGACCCCCCAAACCGGUGAUGAGACACGGACCAGACUCCGACGGGAGGCAGCAGUAAGGAAGAUUGGUCAAUGGACGCAAGUCUGAACCAGCCAUGUCGCGUGCAGGAGGACGGCCCUACGGGUUGUAAACUGCUUUUGUACCGGAAUAAACCCUUUUACGUGUAAGAGGCUGAAUGUACGGUAAGAAUAAGGAUCGGCUAACUCCGUGCCAGCCGCCGCAGUAA
RNAcentral lists this ribosomal RNA (498 nucleotides) under uncultured bacterium. RNAcentral's name for it is "partial 16S ribosomal RNA". It matches the Rfam family "Bacterial small subunit ribosomal RNA", at positions 28 to 523 of the family's 1533-position model. The record is from RNAcentral.